CAGUCGCCGGGGGAAUACAGAGGGUGCGAGCGUUAAUCGGAUUUACUGGGCGUAAAGCGUGCGUAGGCGGCUUCUUAAGUCGGAUGUGAAAUCCCUGAGCUUAACUUAGGAAUUGCAUUCGAUACUGGGAAGCUAGAGUAUGGGAGAGGAUGGUAGAAUUCCAGGUGUAGCGGUGAAAUGCGUAGAGAUCUGGAGGAAUACCGAUGGCGAAGGCAGCCAUCUGGCCUAAUACUGACGCUGAGGUACGAAAGCAUGGGGAGCAAACAGGAUUAGAUACCCCAGUAGUCUCUGUCUCUUAUAC
This 301-nucleotide ribosomal RNA is filed under the name uncultured bacterium. Its description in RNAcentral is "partial 16S ribosomal RNA". It matches the Rfam family "Bacterial small subunit ribosomal RNA", at positions 509 to 807 of the family's 1533-position model. The record is from RNAcentral.